GUCGAGCGAAUGGAUUGAGAGCUUGCUCUCAUGAAGUUAGCGGCGGACGGGUGAGUAACACGUGGGUAACCUGCCCAUAAGACUGGGAUAACUCCGGGAAACCGGGGCUAAUACCGGAUAACAUUUUGAACUGCAUGGUUCGAAAUUGAAAGGCGGCUUCGGCUGUCACUUAUGGAUGGACCCGCGUCGCAUUAGCUAGUUGGUGAGGUAACGGCUCACCAAGGCAACGAUGCGUAGCCGACCUGAGAGGGUGAUCGGCCACACUGGGACUGAGACACGGCCCAGACUCCUACGGGAGGCAGCAGUAGGGAAUCUUCCGCAAUGGACGAAAGUCUGACGGAGCAACGCCGCGUGAGUGAUGAAGGCUUUCGGGUCGUAAAACUCUGUUGUUAGGGAAGAACAAGUGCUAGUUGAAUAAGCUGGCACCUUGACGGUACCUAACCAGAAAGCCACGGCUAACUACGUGCCAGCAGCCGCGGUAAUACGUAGGUGGCAAGCGUUAUCCGGAAUUAUUGGGCGUAAAGCGCGCGCAGGUGGUUUCUUAAGUCUGAUGUGAAAGCCCACGGCUCAACCGUGGAGGGUCAUUGGAAACUGGGAGACUUGAGUGCAGAAGAGGAAAGUGGAAUUCCAUGUGUAGCGGUGAAAUGCGUAGAGAUAUGGAGGAACACCAGUGGCGAAGGCGACUUUCUGGUCUGUAACUGACACUGAGGCGCGAAAGCGUGGGGAGCAAACAGGAUUAGAUACC
RNAcentral lists this ribosomal RNA (745 nucleotides) under Bacillus thuringiensis. Its description in RNAcentral is "bacterial SSU rRNA". It matches the Rfam family "Bacterial small subunit ribosomal RNA", at positions 61 to 786 of the family's 1533-position model. Lineage: Bacteria; Bacillati; Bacillota; Bacilli; Caryophanales; Bacillaceae. The record is from RNAcentral.